UGCCUCAGCCGAGGUUUGAAAGCGGGUCUUUUGCAUUGCGGGCGGCCGCGCUAACCAUUCCGCCAAUGGGGC
Teladorsagia circumcincta is the source of this 72-nucleotide non-coding RNA. Lineage: Eukaryota; Metazoa; Nematoda; Chromadorea; Rhabditida; Trichostrongylidae. The record is from the annotation of a GenBank genome assembly.